RNAcentral lists this ribosomal RNA (399 nucleotides) under uncultured bacterium. RNAcentral's name for it is "partial 16S ribosomal RNA". It matches the Rfam family "Bacterial small subunit ribosomal RNA", at positions 360 to 776 of the family's 1533-position model. The record is from RNAcentral.
AAUAUUGGACAAUGGGCGAAAGCCUGAUCCAGCCAGGCCGCGUGAGUGAUGAAUGCCCUCGGGUUGUACCGCUCUUUCACCGGUGAAGAUAAUGACGGUAACCGGAGAAGAAGCCCCGGCCAACUUCGUGCCAGCAGCCGCGGUAAUACGAAGGGGGCUAGCGUUGUUCGGAAUUACUGGGCGUAAAGCGCACGUAGGCGGACAUUUAAGUCAGGGGUGAAAUCCCGGGGCUCAACCCCGGAACUGCCUUUAAUACUGGGUGUCUCGAGUCCGGAAGAGGUGAGUGGAAUUCCGAGUGUAGAGGUGAAAUUCGUAGAUAUUCGGAGGAACACCAGUGGCGAAGGCGGCUCACUGGUCCGGUACUGACGCUCAGACACGAAAGCGUGGGGAGCAAACAGG